GACGAACGCUGGCGGCGUGCUUAACACAUGCCAGUCGAACGGAAAGGCCCUGCUCUUGUGGGGUGCUCGAUUGGCGAACGGGUGAGUAACACGUGAGUAACCUGCCCUUGACUUUGUGAUAACUUCAGGAAACUGGGGCUCAUACCGGAUAGGAGCUCCUGCUGCAUGGUGGUGGUUGGAGAGUUUCGGCGGUUGGGGAUGGACUCGCGGCUUAUCAGCUUGUUGGUGGGGUAGUGGCUUACCAAGGCUUUGACGGGUAGCCGGCCUGAGAGGGUGACCGGGCACAUUGGGACUGAGAGACGGCCCAGACUCCUACGGGAGGCAGCAGUGGGGAAUAUUGCACAAUGGGCGGAAGCCUGAUGCAGCAACGCCGCGUGCGGGAUGACGGCCUUCGGGUUGUAAACCGCUGUCGCCUGUGACGAAGCGUGAGUGACGGUAAUGGGUAAAGAAGCACCGGCUAACUACGUG
This 468-nucleotide ribosomal RNA is filed under the name uncultured bacterium. Its description in RNAcentral is "partial 16S ribosomal RNA". It matches the Rfam family "Bacterial small subunit ribosomal RNA", at positions 28 to 507 of the family's 1533-position model. The record is from RNAcentral.